AUCAAGCAGGAAGUACAGAGAGUUCUCCAUAUAUUCCUUAGCCCCUAUUAUUAUCUUACAUUUGUGUGGUAUAUAUUUUCAAAUCAAUGAGCCCAUAUUGAUACAUUAUUAUUAACUAAUAUCCGUGGUUUACAUUAGGGCUCCCCCUUGGUGUUACACAUUCUAUGGGUUUAGACAAAUGCAUCAUGGCAUGCAGGCAUCACUGAAGUAUCACACAGGAUCGUUUCACUGCCCGGAAAACCCCCUCUGCUCCACCAGUCGUCCCUUCCCCACACCACCUCACCCCCGAACCGCAGAUUUUUUUUUAACUGUCUCUAUUGUUUUGCCUUUUCCAGUGUCAUAGAGGGGAAUUGUAUAACAUGUAGCCUUUUCAGAUUGGCUUCUUUCACUUAGUAACACGCAUGUCAGUUGCUUCCAUGUCUUUUCAGAGCUCAAUAGCUCAUUUCCUCUUAGCCCUGAACAACAUGCCAUUGUCUGCGUGUUCCCUCGUUUAUUUACCCAUUCACCUGCUUGAAGACAUCUUGGUUGUUUCCGGGUUUUGGCUACCUUCAUCCCCAAACCGGAACUGAUGCACGGCCUGCAGCAGUCAUGGGACCGGAGAGAUUGAAUCUCAAGAAGACUGGGCGUGUGGUGGCACACACCUGUGGUCACAGCUACUUGGGAGGCUGAGGCAGGAGAAUCGCUUGAAUCCGGGAGGUGGAGG
Molecule: non-coding RNA, 703 nt
Organism: Chlorocebus sabaeus (green monkey)
Lineage: Eukaryota; Metazoa; Chordata; Mammalia; Primates; Cercopithecidae
Source: RefSeq, a predicted model, not a curated record